AAGUCGCGAGGCCAAGCAAAUCCCUUAAAACUGUUCGUAGUCCGGAUUGGAGUCUGCAACUCGACUCCAUGAAGUCGGAAUCGCUAGUAAUCGCGAAUCAGAAUGUCGCGGUGAAUACGUUCCCGGGCCUUGUACACACCGCCCGUCACACCAUGGGAGUGGAUUGCACCAGAAGUAGUUAGUCUAACCUUCGGGAGGACGAUUACCACGGUGUGGUUCAUGACUGGGGUGAAGUCGUAACAAGGUAGCCGUAGGGGAACCUGCGGCUGGAUCACCUCCUUAACGA
RNAcentral lists this ribosomal RNA (286 nucleotides) under Alcanivorax sp. HI0007. RNAcentral describes it as "partial 16S ribosomal RNA". It matches the Rfam family "Bacterial small subunit ribosomal RNA", at positions 1252 to 1533 of the family's 1533-position model. The record is from RNAcentral. Lineage: Bacteria; Pseudomonadati; Pseudomonadota; Gammaproteobacteria; Oceanospirillales; Alcanivoracaceae.